GUUAUAGGGUCAAGCGAACAAGUGCAUGUGGUGGAUGCCUUGGCGAUCACAGGCGAUGAAGGACGCGGUAGCCUGCGAAAAG
Molecule: ribosomal RNA, 82 nt
Filed under: Paraburkholderia caribensis
Lineage: Bacteria; Pseudomonadati; Pseudomonadota; Betaproteobacteria; Burkholderiales; Burkholderiaceae
Description: partial 23S ribosomal RNA
Source: RNAcentral